Molecule: ribosomal RNA, 440 nt
Filed under: uncultured bacterium
Lineage: Bacteria
Description: partial 16S ribosomal RNA
Rfam family: Bacterial small subunit ribosomal RNA
Source: RNAcentral
CCUACGGGAGGCAGCAGUGGGGGAUAUUGCACAAUGGGGGAAACCCUGAUGCAGCGACGCCGCGUGUGGGAAGACGGUCCUCUGGAUUGUAAACCACUGUCCCCAGGGACGAAGAUGACGGUACCUGGGGAGGAAGCUCCGGCUAACUACGUGCCAGCAGCCGCGGUAAUACGUAGGGAGCGAGCGUUGUCCGGAAUUACUGGGUGAAAAGGGAGCGUAGGCGGGACUGCAAGUUGGGUGUCAAAUCUACCGGCUCAACCGGUAGCCGCACUCAAAACUGCAGUUCUUGAGUGAAGUAGAGGCAGGCGGAAUUCCUAGUGUAGCGGGGAAAUGCGUAGAUAUUAGGAGGAACACCAGUGGCGAAGGCGGCCUGCUGGGCUUUUACUGACGCUGAGGCUCGAAAGUGUGGGGAGCAAACAGGAUUAGAUACCCGGGUAGUC